UCCACGAUCAACGUUCUUGUUGUUCUGCCAUUUCCGUUUGCAUGCAUGAGAAAUCUCGAUUUACAGUUAAUGAGAUUGAUCACAGAAAGAAGAAAGAAAUAGGGUGGUCCGGGUUUAAUGGAGAUUAUAUAAGUUUAUACAAAAGACAUCGAUGAGUGGUAGUGGGAUCUUGGCUGUAUGUGUUUAAGAAAGUUAAAAGGUGCUUAACUUGAUGAAGAAGCAUUUGCUAGCUUUUUGAAAUGGCUAAUUUGCUCCUUAAAUAAAUACGAAGAUACAGUCCUUUCUUGCUUUUUGACAGUCAAGAUUCUCUUGGACUACAUUUGUAUACGUGUGUGUGGAUAUGUAUAUAUGUGUGUUUUGAAAUUAGGGUAUGGCUUUUUUGGCCGUCCAUUACCAUAUCACCGAAAUAGAGAUGAGAUAGGGAGGCUUUUCUUUUUUCAAAGAUGACUCUUUUUUCACUUUUCAGUGACCGACCAUUCAAAGCUUCUUUUUCUUUAUUCAGUAGAUCUGAUAUUGACAAGUAAUUAAUUACAAUUAUCGGAAUCUGAAAGCAAUGCACCAUAGACAGGCUUCUUUUUCGUUUUCACACACUUCAACGUGCCAUGAAAAUGGACGUGUCUCGAUUGGAACAUGUGAGGGGGAUAUGGGACAUGGCACUGCUAGCUGCUCAAAUCACUUCAAAAAAGCUUUUAAUCACUAUUUCAAUGGCGGUUUCAUGCAGUAGGAUCUAGACUUCCAAUCACCAAUAUCUUAGUUGAAUUACAGUGAAUUAGGUUGUGCUAAAUCGUAGUGAGUUGAAUUUCAAUCA
This 808-nucleotide long non-coding RNA is filed under the name Carica papaya (papaya). RNAcentral's name for it is "long non-coding RNA (CPAP_LNC008736)". Lineage: Eukaryota; Viridiplantae; Streptophyta; Magnoliopsida; Brassicales; Caricaceae. The record is from RNAcentral.